GACGAACGCUGGCGGCGUGCUUAACACAUGCAAGUCGAACGGAAAGACCCUGCUUUUGUGGGGUGCUCGAGUGGCGAACGGGUGAGUAACACGUGAGUAACCUGCCCUUGACUUUGGGAUAACUUCAGGAAACUGGGGCUAAUACCGGAUAGGAGCUCCUGCUGCAUGGUGGGGGUUGGAAAGUUUCGGCGGUUGGGGAUGGACUCGCGGCUUAUCAGCUUGUUGGUGGGGUAGUGGCUUACCAAGGCUUUGACGGGAAGCCGGCCUGAGAGGGUGACCGGCCACAUUGGGAUGGAGAGACGCCCGAGAGUCGUGCGGGGGGGAGCAGGGGGAAGUAUGCCACAGGGGGCGCAGGCAUAACGCAGCGGCCCGGGGUGGGGGAUGAGGGCCUUGGGGUAAAAAACCGCUUGCGCUGGGGACGAAGGGGGAGGGGGGGUAAGGAGAAAAGAAGCCCCGGCAAACUCGGGG
RNAcentral lists this ribosomal RNA (468 nucleotides) under uncultured bacterium. RNAcentral's name for it is "partial 16S ribosomal RNA". It matches the Rfam family "Bacterial small subunit ribosomal RNA", at positions 28 to 507 of the family's 1533-position model. The record is from RNAcentral.